This 611-nucleotide ribosomal RNA is filed under the name uncultured fungus. RNAcentral describes it as "eukaryotic LSU rRNA". It matches the Rfam family "Eukaryotic large subunit ribosomal RNA", at positions 24 to 649 of the family's 3401-position model. The record is from RNAcentral. Lineage: Eukaryota; Fungi.
CUCGCUGAACUUAAGCAUAUCAAUAAGCGGAGGAAAAGAANCCANCAGCGAUUGUCUCAGUAACGGCGAGUGAAGCGGCAUCAGCUCAAAUUUGAAAUCUGGCUCCCGCGGGGCCCGAGUUGUAAUUUGGAGAGGGUGUNUCGGGUGCGGAGCCGGUCUAAAUUCCUUGGAACAGGGUGUCGCAGAGGGUGAGAAUNCCGUACGUGACCGGCGACCAACNACCGGUGAAACNCAUUGGACGAGUCGAGUUGUUUGGGAAUGCAGCUCCAAAUGGGUGGUAAAUUCCAUCUAAAGCUAAAUACCGGCCGGAGACCGAUAGCGCACAAGUAGAGUGAUCGAAAGAUGAAAAGCACUUUGGAAAGAGAGUUAAACAGUACGUGAAAUUGUUGAAAGGGAAGCGCUGGCGACCAGACCUCGUUCCGGGCGAUCACCGCCCCGUUUCGGGUCGUGCACUCGUCCGGAUCCAGGCCAGCAUCGGUUUGGGCGGUCGGAUAAAGGCGGGCAGGAUGUGGCUCCUUCCGGGGAGUGUUAUACCUGCGCGCGCAAUGCGGCCAGCCGGGCCCGAGGUCCGCUUUUCGGCUAGGAUGCUGGCGUAAUGGUCGUCAGCGACC